Molecule: ribosomal RNA, 187 nt
Filed under: Escherichia coli
Lineage: Bacteria; Pseudomonadati; Pseudomonadota; Gammaproteobacteria; Enterobacterales; Enterobacteriaceae
Description: partial 16S ribosomal RNA
Rfam family: Bacterial small subunit ribosomal RNA
Source: RNAcentral
AAAUUGAAGAGUUUGAUCAUGGCUCAGAUUGAACGCUGGCGGCAGGCCUAACACAUGCAAGUCGAACGGUAACAGAAAGCAGCUUGCUGCUUUGCUGACGAGUGGCGGACGGGUGAGUAAUGUCUGGGAAACUGCCCGAUGGAGGGGGAUAACUACUGGAAACGGUAGCUAAUACCGCAUAACGUCG